GAUGAACGCUGGCGGCGUGCCUAAUACAUGCAAGUCGAGCGAACGGACGAGAAGCUUGCUUUUCUGAUGUUAGCGGCGGACGGGUGAGUAACACGUGGAUAACCUACCUAUAAGACUGGGAUAACUUCGGGAAACCGGAGCUAAUACCGGAUAAUAUUUUGAACCGCAUGGUUCAAAAGUGAAAGACGGUCCUGCUGUCACUUAUAGAUGGAUCCGCGCUGCAUUAGCUAGUUGGUAAGGUAACGGCUUACCAAGGCAACGAUGCAUAGCCGACCUGAGAGGGUGAUCGGCCACACUGGAACUGAGACACGGUCCAGACUCCUACGGGAGGCAGCAGUAGGGAAUCUUCCGCAAUGGGCGAAGGCCUGACGGAGCAACGCCGCGUGAGUGAUGAAGGUCUUCGGAUCGUAAAACUCUGUUAUUAGGGAAGAACAUAUGUGUAAGUAACUGUGCACAUCUUGACGGUACCUAAUCAGAAAGCCACGGCUAACUACGUG
This 497-nucleotide ribosomal RNA is filed under the name uncultured bacterium. Its description in RNAcentral is "partial 16S ribosomal RNA". It matches the Rfam family "Bacterial small subunit ribosomal RNA", at positions 28 to 507 of the family's 1533-position model. The record is from RNAcentral.